GAUGAAGAACGCAGUGAAAUGCGAUAAGUAAUGUGAAUUGCAGAAUUCAGUGAAUCAUCGAAUCUUUGAACGCACAUUGCGCCAGCCAGUAUUCUGGCGGGCAUGCCUGUUCGAGCGUCAUUUCAACCCUCAGGCCCCGCCUGGCGUUGGGGAUCGGCGCGGCCCUCUCCGGGCUGCCGGCCCCGAAAACUAGUGGCGGUCUCGCUGUAGUCCUCCUCUGCGCAGUAGCAACGCUCGCACUGGAACUCGGCGCGGCCACGCCGUAAAACACCCCACUUCUGAAAGUUGACCUCGGAUCAGGUAGGAAUACCCGCUGAACUUAAGCAUAUCAAUAAGCGGAGGA
This 343-nucleotide unclassified non-coding RNA is filed under the name soil metagenome. Its description in RNAcentral is "partial contains 5.8S ribosomal RNA, internal transcribed spacer 2, and large subunit ribosomal RNA". The stretch from base 1 to 120 matches the Rfam family "5.8S ribosomal RNA", at positions 35 to 154 of the family's 154-position model. The record is from RNAcentral.